Molecule: long non-coding RNA, 487 nt
Filed under: Heterocephalus glaber (naked mole-rat)
Lineage: Eukaryota; Metazoa; Chordata; Mammalia; Rodentia; Bathyergidae
Description: lncRNA (ENSHGLG00000042538.1)
Source: RNAcentral
CUUGGAAGUGAGACAAGAGGGUGCCAUCAGCCCUGCAGCAUGCUGCUCAGAGAUAGCUCUCCCGGAGAUGCUGGACUUCAUGCUGCCAACAGGGCACAGCAAUCCUUUCUGGGGGUAGGGACAAGGACUUCAGUGAAUGGGAUCUCAGACUCCAAAGAGUUCCUCAUAAUGGUAAAGUGUGGCCAUUGGGGAAGACUCAAAUGCAACUAUGGACAGUCUCCAGGCAGGAAAGAGCAGAGCAUAUUUAUUACAUCUGUGACCCAGACAUGUAACAAAAAGUUUGGAAGAACCGCUGCUUAGAAGAUUUCGCAUUAGAUGAAUUGGAAUGAUUAAAUAAACAUAAAAUCUUAUACUGGAAUCCAAGCAACCUAAACACACCCUAGAUAUAUUAACAUCCAAUGCUGAAUUCCGAAAGAGAAAUGAUCAUGGUGCAUUGAGAGAACUUGUAGCUGGAAGCAAUUCAGUGUGGGCCUGACCUCACCACAGG